UAUCAAGGACCGAGGAUAGGAUGUCAAGAAGCCUAACAAAUUCUGGACAAAGCAUCGCCAACGAAAUUACUCAUGGCGAUUGUGAUCCGUUUGCAAAAAGUCCUCUUUCAGGACCAAUACCAUGUUCAGGCAGUGUUUCUCUGCGAUCAAGUAGUAGCACUACCAGCUCAUUCGUUUGCUUUCCCCAUAUUGCCAUCUGAAUGGAGUGGCAGUCCAGUAAGAAUGGCAGAAGCUGACCCGAGACGGCCAAGGAAGCACCAGAGUUGGAGAACCUGUUUUCUCUGCUGAUUCGGAAAACAUGCUUUUCAACAAUGGUGUGAUACUAAAUUAUAAAUCUAUCAAUGAUGCUUUUCAAUUGUCAUACAAUGUGUUCUUUUACCUUCCAACAAACAAGAAAAAGAUUGUCUUUUGUCUCUUUAUACCGUCAAUGACACACAAAAGUUCAAUUUUAUACAAAUCAUCUGUUGUUCCAUAAUUGCAAUAUGACAAGUUUUACAUGAGAAUCAGUAAUGUCCUUGAUUUUUGUCAAGGGAUUGAUGACCUGGUUUCAGCCGAGUGACGGAUAUGUAGAUAGUAGGAGAA
Molecule: long non-coding RNA, 582 nt
Organism: Hibiscus syriacus
Lineage: Eukaryota; Viridiplantae; Streptophyta; Magnoliopsida; Malvales; Malvaceae
Exons: 3
Source: RefSeq, a predicted model, not a curated record